RNAcentral lists this ribosomal RNA (119 nucleotides) under Nelumbo nucifera (sacred lotus). The record is from RNAcentral. Lineage: Eukaryota; Viridiplantae; Streptophyta; Magnoliopsida; Proteales; Nelumbonaceae.
GGGUGCGAUCAUACCAUCACUAAUGUAUCGGAUUCCAUCAGAAUUCUGAAGUUAAGCGUGCUUGGGUGAGAAUAGUACUAAGAUGGAUGACCUCCUGGAAAGUCCUCAUACUGCACCCC